AAACUUAAGAGUUUGAUCCUGGCUCAGAUUGAACGCUGGCGGCAUGCUUUACACAUGCAAGUCGAACGGCAGCACGGGUGCUUGCACCUGGUGGCGAGUGGCGGACGGGUGAGUAAUACAUCGGAACGUGUCCUGAAGUGGGGGAUAACGCAUCGAAAGAUGUGCUAAUACCGCAUAUACUCUAAGGAGGAAAGUAGGGGAUCGAAAGACCUUAUGCUUUUGGAGCGGCCGAUGUCUGAUUAGCUAGUUGGUAAGGUAAUGGCUUACCAAGGCGACGAUCAGUAGUUGGUCUGAGAGGACGACCAGCCACACUGGGACUGAGACACGGCCCAGACUCCUACGGGAGGCAGCAGCUAAGAAUAUUCCGCAAUGGACGAAAGUCUGACGGAGCGACGCCGCGUGGAUGAUGAAGGCCGGAAGGUUGUAAAGUCCUUUUGCUGGGGAAGAAUAAGUCUGGGAGGGAAUGCCCGGAUGAUGACAUGAACCGGCGAAUAAGCCCCGGCUAACUACGUGCCAGCAGCCGCGGUAACACGUAGGGGGCAAGCGUUGUUCGGAAUUACUGGGCGUAAAGGGCAUGUAGGCGGCUUUGUAAGCUUGGCGUGAAAUUCCACGGCUUAACCGUGGGAAUGCGUUGAGAACUGCGAGGCUUGAGUGACGGAGAGGGAGCUAGAAUUCCUGGUGUAGGGGUGGAAUCUGUAGAGAUCAGGAAGAAUACCAAUGGCGAAGGCAAGCUCCUGGCCGAUGACUGACGCUGAGGUGCGAAA
This 764-nucleotide ribosomal RNA is filed under the name Nitrosomonas sp. RNAcentral describes it as "bacterial SSU rRNA". It matches the Rfam family "Bacterial small subunit ribosomal RNA", at positions 1 to 758 of the family's 1533-position model. The record is from RNAcentral. Lineage: Bacteria; Pseudomonadati; Pseudomonadota; Betaproteobacteria; Nitrosomonadales; Nitrosomonadaceae.